GUUACCAUUACACAGGCCAUCAUUUUCCAGUUCUCAUGUCAAAAACAUCACUAUAAGCAUUUAGUGAAUCUGAGGCACUCGGUAUCAAUGUUCACUGCAUCGCGUCAGAUACGGGAGGGCAAAAUCGAGCUGUAUGGUGAGAAUUUGGAAUUGUUGUUGGCAGGUUUUCAAAAUUAGUCAAUUUUUGCCAGUAUCCUUGUGAUGAUAACAGGAAGCUAAUUUUCCUCAGAUAUACACCACACUUUUUGAAAAUAUGAGGAACCACUUAGUCACCGGGCAAUAAGUCUUCCUUUCACAAAAUGUUGUCAAGGAACGAUAUCUACCUUGUAAUGAGGUACAUAUAAAUCGUGUAAAGCAGUCACUUGAGAUAGACAAUGGUUUAAGUCUUAAACUGGCACCACAACUGUAUGAGAGGUGUUUGAUGCCAAACCUUUAUGAUAAAAUGAAAGUUGGCUUGGCUACUGCCCUAAUUAUCAGCCAGACUGCAGCAGCCAUUGAGUAUGGUGCCAGGACAGAGAAACUGCAGAAAAAUGAUUUAACCACAGCACGGUUUCUAAAGCACGUUCAUAAGUGGUUUCGCCACAUGACAUGUAGAGCUCCAGUUAUGGCUCUGAGUCGUUCUGAUGAACAAACAUACAGUGAGGCUCUCUGUCAUCUGGAGGACACUCCGUGUUUAUUUCAAAACUUGAAAAUUGGUCUGAAGGGUGCCUGGAAACCAGUUCAGUUUUUGUAGUUUUGUCAACUGUAGGUAUUUUGGAAUUGCAGGACACAUUCGUGAAUGAGAAGAAUUUUAAAUUUCUGCUGACAAGUAGAUUUGCACAAGAUGCUUUAGAAAAUCUGUUUUCAAUGGUCUUCUGAAAAAAUCCAGUAUCAGCACCAUCAUAACUGAAAACAGCACUGAUGAUUAUUACUCUUUCUUAAUUCUUUAUUUCUACCACUGAUAAUAAGAAUUAAGACAGUAGAUUCCUGGCAGAAUUAGUGGGGUAAUUUGUAAGUGAAGAUGAGGAUAAGUGUGCUGAGGAAGUUGACGAGCCACUUGUAACGUGGUGUGUGAUGAUGAGCACCAGUCUCUCUACUAUUUAUGUUGUCACAGUGUUAGGCAAGCUAUGAAGCGCCAUGCGCUUUGCGAAUUUUGCGAGGAGAGCCUAAUCGCAUCUAAAGAAAAUCCCUGUACGUCUGUGAACAUGGUUUCACAUCUGAAGUCCUUUAAAGAUACCUCACUUAUUCAGCCACCAUGUGAGGUUUUCAGUGUAUUGCAAAUGGCAGAGGUUUAUUUUAGAAGCAACAAAAGAAAUUACUCACAGGUGAAUUUUUGCUCUCUGAUAUAGCCACUUGUGUGUUUGCAUCAGUGGAGGAGAAAGUAGUUUUCCCAGCCAGCCACUUUAUACAGAAGAAAAUAAUUCGCUUUGUUGGCAACAAGAGUACAUAUGCUUCUAAAUGAGGCAAAUAAAAGAUACCAGGGUGUAGUGACACAGGGCAGUAGAAGCUUGGGCAUGAGAAAAUUGUUGCAGAAUCUGCGACUUCCAGAAUAACUUUUUACUAAAUAAUUUGGAAAAUUACAUUGAAACUUCUUUAGGUUAUUGUUAACAUAAUGAGGUACAAAAUCUGUGGUAACAUUUUCUCU
Molecule: long non-coding RNA, 1624 nt
Organism: Schistocerca nitens (vagrant locust)
Lineage: Eukaryota; Metazoa; Arthropoda; Insecta; Orthoptera; Acrididae
Exons: 3
Source: RefSeq, a predicted model, not a curated record